UACGGGGGGAGCAAGCGUUGUUCGGAUUUACUGGGCGUAAAGGGCGCGUAGGCGGCCACUGCAAGUCAGUUGUGAAAUCUCCGGGCUUAACCCGGAAAGGUCAACUGAUACUGCAGGGCUAGAGUGCAGAAGGGGCAACUGGAAUUCUCGGUGUAGCGGUGAAAUGCGUAGAUAUCGAGAGGAACACCAGUGGCGAAGGCGGCUCACUGGCCCGGAACUGACGCUGAGGUGCGAAAGCGUGGGGAGCAAACAGG
This 254-nucleotide ribosomal RNA is filed under the name uncultured bacterium. RNAcentral's name for it is "partial 16S ribosomal RNA". It matches the Rfam family "Bacterial small subunit ribosomal RNA", at positions 524 to 776 of the family's 1533-position model. The record is from RNAcentral.